Molecule: long non-coding RNA, 948 nt
Organism: Austrofundulus limnaeus
Lineage: Eukaryota; Metazoa; Chordata; Actinopteri; Cyprinodontiformes; Rivulidae
Exons: 2
Source: RefSeq, a predicted model, not a curated record
GUGUCUCCAAGCUGAACCUCUGCAUCAUAGAACACGCCUCCUCCAUGAGCAACAAUUAGCCAACACCUGGUGAAACUGCACGUCUGCUGCGCUUGUUACUAUGUCUCAGUCCAGUCCUUUUCCGAUUAAAAAAUGCCUUUGAGGAAAUGUUUUUUCAGAUGUGAAGGAGACUACCCUCUUUUUAAGCUUCACAAAGAUGACGCAAUUCUUAAAAAAUGGUUGGACUUCAAUUUUGGAAGUAACCCUCCAACGAAAAAAAAGUUAUAUUUGUGCGAGCCACUUUAUGGAUGACAGCUUUCCGAACAAAAGGGAAUUUAACAGUGGACUAAUAAGAUUUUCACUAAAACAUUAUCGAUGCAAUUCCAACACUCAGGACACAAACACGUUGUCGUCUGUCCAGAUGUAGAGGUGUCAGAGGUCAUGCAGCCGAGCUGUCAGAGAGCAGAAUCAAGACUGAUUUGAGGAAAAGAGCAGCAAGAUGAUGAACGUGUGGCCUCAAGAGGACAUGCUGCAGGAGCUUCAGCUGCAGCAGAUGAUUCUGCAACAAUGACUUCCUAAUUGAAAGCACACGCUGAUGCAGCACCACUCCACCUUUGUUGUCAGCAUGAAAUUACAAAGGUGGGAGAUGGAAGCACAUGGAGGACAAAAUCUGUUUGCAAGAUCCGUAUUUUAUUCUGGUCUUCUUUUGACGYUUCGACGUAGCACAACCUCAGGAAGAAAAAGCUGAAUAAAUCUUUUUUUUUCUCACAAUGAGGUCAAACGAGGUCGUUUGAGAAACAUAACAAAAAAAAGGACUUCGACUUGCUCACCCGAACACAACAACAACUCCAUAGAGUUUCUACUAUUGCAUCUCUUUGUUGCUGAUGUAUUAUUGGAUUAUAGAUUGUUGCUUCCCACUGUGUGUGCAUGUCAUUUUAAUUUCACAUUUAAACUAUUUGGGGUUUUCAA